Molecule: ribosomal RNA, 253 nt
Filed under: uncultured bacterium
Lineage: Bacteria
Description: partial 16S ribosomal RNA
Rfam family: Bacterial small subunit ribosomal RNA
Source: RNAcentral
UACGAAGGGAGCUAGCGUUGUUCGGAAUCACUGGGCGUAAAGCGCACGUAGGCGGAUGUGUCAGUCAGGGGUGAAAUCCCGGAGCUCAACUUCGGAACUGCAGUCGAUACGAGCAAACUAGAGUGUUGCAGGGGAGACUGGAAUUCCUGGUGUAGCGGUGAAAUGCGCAGAUAUCAGGAGGAACACCGGUGGCGAAGGCGGCAUCCUGGACCGAUACUGACGCUGAGGAGCGAAAGCCAGGGGAGCAAACGGG